Molecule: long non-coding RNA, 4074 nt
Organism: Peromyscus californicus insignis
Lineage: Eukaryota; Metazoa; Chordata; Mammalia; Rodentia; Cricetidae
Exons: 3
Source: RefSeq, a predicted model, not a curated record
GGGUAGCCAUUCCAGCUUUGAUCUGGAAGUUCCAACCCCCAUUGAGACUUCGGCAACUGUCACGCCUACAAGGCGGGGCGAAAGGAGGCGCCUGGGGACCUGAGAUCUGGAUCGGCGGGCUCUCUCUCUCUCUCUCUGUUGCGGGACCCUGGACUAGAGAGGUGUACCAAGCAGAGCUCCAGAGAACACCGCUGGACUGCGAUACACCUUCCCCAGACUCCGUGACCUACCUAUCCCUUAAUUUAUUAUCCUGAUUAAUACACUUCUUUAAUUUGGGAUAACAACUGAAGAAAUCACCAGUUGCUAAGGUAUCAAUUUCAUCCCAUCCUUGGACAUGAUCCAGCUUUGAUUCCCGUCAUAACCCUCAUUUUACAUGGUUGUUUCUCUGUUGAUAUUUCACCAGAACAGAAGUUGCCAAGUGACCUUUACUUUACCUUUUGCUAAGUUAUGCUCAUAUUACUAUAAUGUGAUACUUGGUGAAUAAUAGGAUGGAUUUUCUUUCCUGCAGCCUCUGAGAAUCAGGCCAUGAAUGGAUCCCUGAAAAAUGGAUUCACCUCUGCUGUUCUACCUAGAAACUGAGAGAGUUAUUGGCAAGGGGAAAGAGCCUGCGUGAAUGUCUCAGCAUACACCCUCACAGAGAAGUGCAGAGGGGGCUGGACACACAGAAAAGACUGAGCCUGCCAGUUUAGGAGCUAUCUCCUCCUGGUAUUUCUCUCAAUGCUUUAAGUGAGGCACCCUCUGUGGGGUAGGAAAUUGAAUUGCAAUUUGCUGAACACAAGAGAUCUCUGUAGAUUCAUAAUAUAGAAGCAAUUCAAAAUGCUGGCAUGGGCCUUACAUUUUUAGGAAUAUCACAAGGAUUUUGAACAAGCAAAACUGAAAAUAUAGAAUAUUGAAACAUUUUCUUUCCUACAUGAAUUUAUUUUGAAAUCCUUUCCAAUCCCUCCCUCCAUCCCCGGAGCACACAGUUAUUGUGAGCUUCUAUAUACAGAAAGAAGUUCUAUAUGCCAAGGGUCCAAUGGUGAUGAGGAUCACUGUGCCCAUGGAGCUCAUGUUAAAAGAGAGGGUGACAUGUUAGGCAGUAACCAGUUCUACAAAGAUAGGUAAAUCACAUGAGGUUGUGAGAGUAUACCACAGUUCACCAGAGUGAACUAAAAGAUCAAAGAGAUUCUCCCUGACUGUGGUUGUAGGACAGAGACUAUAAAAAGAAGAGGUUGAGUCUUAACUCAAUUUUCUUUAAAUAAAAGCUUGAAAAUAUUUAGUAGUAUGGAGAUCCACUAGAACUGUCUGGGAAGAUGGAGGGUAUAGGUGAACAAGUGAUUGGGUCAUUUAUGCUUAUUGAUUACCUCGUAUCAAUGUCCGGCUUCUUUCUUUCACUUGAGACAGUAAUGACUUUCUUGAGAUCCUUGAGAAACACAUUCCUGGAUCUUGAAACUUAAAAAAGACUGUCAUAUUUAAGUCUAAAACUGGGUGAAGAAAAAAAUACCUAGUAGCAGUUUUUCUAUAGUAAAUGCUCUAAAGGAGGAAAGUCAUGGACCUAUAACAAUAAAGAGGCUGUUCUGAAGUUUGGUCAAACUGAUCUGAUGGGAAGUUAAGAACAUCUUCAUCAAAGAAGGCAAGGAUUGAAAUGAGAGUUGAGAACAGAUUCUCAGCAGACUCACUGUGAGAUCACUUCAGAACAACAGGCUUGCACUUGGAGCAGCAGGUUGAAAACACCAGUAGGGCUCCAGGGAAAUGACCAAAGAGGGGCUGGGUUGGAGGUGAGGCCUCUGAGUUUGGAAAAGGUGAGGCUAAGGAAAACCCCAUGGAAGACAAUUGCACCUUAUUCUGAGAGUCUUGGGUUUAAUCAACAGAAUUCAAACAAUGUACAUUCCAAAGGAAUUUUUGGGAUAUUGUGUUGAGAAAUUAGUUCAUGGUUUGGAGAGCAGAAGCAGAGGGAAUAUUAUGGAAGCUAUUUGGAUAAUCUUAUCAUGAUAUUUUAUGUAUAAGAAGUCAUGUAUACAUUAUUAAAGAAUGAACAUUAUGAUAAAAAUAGAAGUGAAAAGACUGAAAAUUAUGGUUUGAAUAAAUAAGUAAAUGAUGGUAUCACCAAUAAUUGCAAAAUUCUGAGCAAAGGAACAUGUUUGGAAGUUUGAGAGUGUUAUAAAGACAUCAAUGCUGAAUAAGUGUUUGUCAAGUGGUGUCUGGCCUAGGUAAUUGCAUAUAAAGUACCCAAUCAUUUAACACUGGGGUUAUGGGUUAUAGCUUGAUAAAUGUGUGGCUGAGUAUUUACACAAACCUAUACUGUACACACUAAUCAUACCAUUAUUUUACAGUAAAUUUUGUAAAUAGAAGAAAUGUACUCUGACAUUUAUGUGUGUGUAGGUGUGUAUACAUAUAUGUAUACAUAAUAAAUGUAUAAACAAGGUAUACAUAAUAUGUACAUAUAUAUUAAAUGCAUAUGCAAUAUUUAUAUAUAUAUAUAUAUAUCAAAUGCAUAGACAAAGUAACCAUGUCAUUGUUGUCAGUAUUAACAUUAUUAAAUAUUAUAUAUUGUAUAUAAUCAUGUUAUACUUUGAUACAACAAACUGCUAAAGUUUGCUUAAAUCAGUUCAUCACAAACACAGGAAGAAAGCAUUGUUAAACAGCUAAACCAUCAUUAGCUGACAGGAAUCUUUCAGCUGUUGCUAAUCUUAUGGGAUCAUCAUCAUGGCUGGGAUACCUUGUUGACUGAGAUGUAGAGUGAUGCAUAACAAUAUUGCCCCGAAGCUCAAGGGAGAUGCACAAGAGAGAAAGACGACUUGGGAGUCACUGGAGUGGAGCUGGUACUUAGAGCCUGUUUGCAUGUUAUCUAGAGUGUGAAGAUGACAGGAGGCAUGUCUCUCAUAUUUCUCAUUUAAAAAGUCUCUACAUACCAAAUUAACCCAGUGCUCUUAAGAUUACUGGAAUUAAUAAUUACAUUCUCGUUUAGUGGGACUUUACUUAUGGUUGAAGUGGGCUGAUUAAAAAAUGAGAGGAGAAAGCAUAGGUGUUGGCUUUUUUUUUUUUAAACAAUAUAUUUGAGAUUUUAAAAAUAAAGCUAUUAGUAACUGGAAAAUACAGAAUUUUGUUUGGCUUUCUAAAUUUAUUGAGAUAUAAAAAUUUUAAAAUAUGUACAAACCCAGAAUAGAAGACAUGUUUCUUAAUUUUACAUUUACUGCCUUUACUAGGCCUUGACCUAGAAACUUCUGACUGCUGAGGAUACUGUACAUUAGUAGUACACAUACAUACAUACAUACAUACAUACAUACAUACAUACAUGUGAGAAACAAAUGUCAGCUCACCCUGUUUAUUUAUGUGUUUUUAAUCUCUUCUAGCAUUAAAUAAAGUAAAAGAGACUAUGCAUAAAUGAAGAAUGUCACCACAUUAACUGGUAGCACUUUUUAAUUCUUUAUUAACUUUAAUCAGUGGUGGCUGAAACUCAAGAGAUUUCAAAAUCAAACAAGGUCAGAUGAGCUUCCAAACAGGACAUCUCCAGUUGCCAUCUGGUACUUUGUCUUAAGAUACUCAUUUAUUUUUAUGUUUUUUUUUUAAUAUGGAGAAGGCAUCAAAUGCAAGGUCAGAUAGGGAUAGUGAGGACACCCUGUGUGCUUGGCCUGGUUCUCAGUGCUAGGGUUAUAGUUGCUUAUAAAAAUAGGUGAAAAGCACUUGCUUUUAUGGCAGCAUAUAGAAGAUUCAUAAAAUAAGUAAGCACAACUUAUGCUGAUUGAUCAUAAGUGCUAUCGUUGAAGAUAAAGCAAGCUUGUGGGAACAAAAGUUCCGGGUUGGAGAUGCAGCUGCAAACACAUGAAAACAGGAUAAUUAGAGAAGUGUGUCUGAAGGGACCUUUGAAGAAAGAUGUGCAGGAAGAAACGGGAUUGGCUAUCUACUAAUAAGAGUGGGAAGAAGCAGAGAGAGAUGAAAAAAUUUAGGCUAAAGUGUAGUUAAUGUCUUUGAGGAACAACUUGGAAAUCCUUGUGUCUAGAGAUUAGACAGAUAGGGACUUCUGAAACCAGAGAAGUAAUAGGAGCAGAGUCACAUUUCAGAAGAAAUAUUCAUGAGGAUGAAGAGAUGCCUGUU